GCAGCCGCCGCGGUAAUACGGAGGAUCCAAGCGUUAUCCGGAAUCAUUGGGUUUAAAGGGUCCGUAGGCGGUCUUGUAAGUCAGUGGUGAAAGCCCAUCGCUCAACGGUGGAACGGCCAUUGAUACUGCAGGACUUGAAUUAUUGGGAAGUAACUAGAAUAUGUAGUGUAGCGGUGAAAUGCUUAGAGAUUACAUGGAAUACCAAUUGCGAAGGCAGGUUACUACCAAUUGAUUGACGCUGAUGGACGAAAGCGUGGGUAGCGAACAGGAUUAGAUACCCGUGUAGUCCCUGUCUCUUAUAC
This 302-nucleotide ribosomal RNA is filed under the name uncultured bacterium. Its description in RNAcentral is "partial 16S ribosomal RNA". It matches the Rfam family "Bacterial small subunit ribosomal RNA", at positions 508 to 807 of the family's 1533-position model. The record is from RNAcentral.